RNAcentral lists this ribosomal RNA (1342 nucleotides) under Escherichia coli. RNAcentral's name for it is "partial 23S ribosomal RNA". It matches the Rfam family "Bacterial large subunit ribosomal RNA", at positions 812 to 2136 of the family's 2925-position model. The record is from RNAcentral. Lineage: Bacteria; Pseudomonadati; Pseudomonadota; Gammaproteobacteria; Enterobacterales; Enterobacteriaceae.
UGGCUGGGGGUGAAAGGCCAAUCAAACCGGGAGAUAGCUGGUUCUCCCCGAAAGCUAUUUAGGUAGCGCCUCGUGAAUUCAUCUCCGGGGGUAGAGCACUGUUUCGGCAAGGGGGUCAUCCCGACUUACCAACCCGAUGCAAACUGCGAAUACCGGAGAAUGUUAUCACGGGAGACACACGGCGGGUGCUAACGUCCGUCGUGAAGAGGGAAACAACCCAGACCGCCAGCUAAGGUCCCAAAGUCAUGGUUAAGUGGGAAACGAUGUGGGAAGGCCCAGACAGCCAGGAUGUUGGCUUAGAAGCAGCCAUCAUUUAAAGAAAGCGUAAUAGCUCACUGGUCGAGUCGGCCUGCGCGGAAGAUGUAACGGGGCUAAACCAUGCACCGAAGCUGCGGCAGCGACGCUUAUGCGUUGUUGGGUAGGGGAGCGUUCUGUAAGCCUGUGAAGGUGUGCUGUGAGGCAUGCUGGAGGUAUCAGAAGUGCGAAUGCUGACAUAAGUAACGAUAAAGCGGGUGAAAAGCCCGCUCGCCGGAAGACCAAGGGUUCCUGUCCAACGUUAAUCGGGGCAGGGUGAGUCGACCCCUAAGGCGAGGCCGAAAGGCGUAGUCGAUGGGAAACAGGUUAAUAUUCCUGUACUUGGUGUUACUGCGAAGGGGGGACGGAGAAGGCUAUGUUGGCCGGGCGACGGUUGUCCCGGUUUAAGCGUGUAGGCUGGUUUUCCAGGCAAAUCCGGAAAAUCAAGGCUGAGGCGUGAUGACGAGGCACUACGGUGCUGAAGCAACAAAUGCCCUGCUUCCAGGAAAAGCCUCUAAGCAUCAGGUAACAUCAAAUCGUACCCCAAACCGACACAGGUGGUCAGGUAGAGAAUACCAAGGCGCUUGAGAGAACUCGGGUGAAGGAACUAGGCAAAAUGGUGCCGUAACUUCGGGAGAAGGCACGCUGAUAUGUAGGUGAAGUCCCUCGCGGAUGGAGCUGAAAUCAGUCGAAGAUACCAGCUGGCUGCAACUGUUUAUUAAAAACACAGCACUGUGCAAACACGAAAGUGGACGUAUACGGUGUGACGCCUGCCCGGUGCCGGAAGGUUAAUUGAUGGGGUCAGCGCAAGCGAAGCUCUUGAUCGAAGCCCCGGUAAACGGCGGCCGUAACUAUAACGGUCCUAAGGUAGCGAAAUUCCUUGUCGGGUAAGUUCCGACCUGCACGAAUGGCGUAAUGAUGGCCAGGCUGUCUCCACCCGAGACUCAGUGAAAUUGAACUCGCUGUGAAGAUGCAGUGUACCCGCGGCAAGACGGAAAGACCCCGUGAACCUUUACUAUAGCUUGACACUGAACAUUGAGCCUUGAUG